This is a non-coding RNA of Podarcis lilfordi (Lilford's wall lizard), 70 nucleotides long. NCBI's taxonomy places the organism in Eukaryota, Metazoa, Chordata, Lepidosauria, Squamata, Lacertidae. The record is from the annotation of a GenBank genome assembly.
GUAAUAGCUCAGUCGGUAGAGCAUGAGACUCUUGAUCUCAAGGGUGUGGAUUCAAUCCCCAGGUUGGACA